RNAcentral lists this unclassified non-coding RNA (288 nucleotides) under Hevea brasiliensis (rubber tree). Lineage: Eukaryota; Viridiplantae; Streptophyta; Magnoliopsida; Malpighiales; Euphorbiaceae. The record is from RNAcentral.
ACCACCAAGAUACGUGUGGCAUGUACCCGAUGUAACUCAACCAUUGCAACGAGAGCUUCGAAGCUUCUAUGGACAAGCUCCUGCAGUGGUAGAACUAUGUGUACAGGCUGGUGCUGAAGUCCCUGAGCAAUAUAAGCCAACUAUGAGAUUUGAUGUGGGGAUUCCUAACAGUAUCAAAGAAGCAGAAAUGGUUGUUUGAUUGUGUAGUGGUUGGAAUGUAUAAUAGCAUUUAUGUGUUUAUCCUAAAGAUUGAAAACCAACCAUAUGAAGGAAAAUGGCAAGUUCCAA